GACAGAGGUGCCGAGCGUUAGGCGGAAUCACUGGGCUUAAAGCGUGUGUAGGCGGGUCGUUAAGUGCCUUGUGAAAUCCCACGGCUCAACCGUGGAACUGCUUGGCAUACUGGCGGUCUUGAGCAACCUAGGGGCGAGCGGAACAAAUGGUGGAGCGGUGAAAUGCGUAGAUAUCACUUGGAACGCCAAUGGUGAAAACAGCUCGCUGGGGGUUUGCUGACGCUGAGACACGAAAGCCAGGGGAGCAAACGGG
Molecule: ribosomal RNA, 253 nt
Filed under: uncultured bacterium
Lineage: Bacteria
Description: partial 16S ribosomal RNA
Rfam family: Bacterial small subunit ribosomal RNA
Source: RNAcentral